Molecule: long non-coding RNA, 114 nt
Organism: Tympanuchus pallidicinctus (lesser prairie-chicken)
Lineage: Eukaryota; Metazoa; Chordata; Aves; Galliformes; Phasianidae
Exons: 2
Source: RefSeq, a predicted model, not a curated record
GGGUCAGGUAUGGGGUUAUGGGGUCAGGUAUGGGGUUAUGGGGUCAGGUAUGGGGUUAUGGGGUCAGUUAUGGGGUUAUGGGGUCAGGUAUGGGGUUAUGGGGUCAGGUAUGGG